RNAcentral lists this ribosomal RNA (469 nucleotides) under uncultured bacterium. RNAcentral describes it as "bacterial SSU rRNA". It matches the Rfam family "Bacterial small subunit ribosomal RNA", at positions 330 to 792 of the family's 1533-position model. The record is from RNAcentral.
GCCAGACUCCUACGGGAGGCAGCAGUGGGGAAUAUUGCACAAUGGGCGCAAGCCUGAUGCAGCCAUGCCGCGUGUAUGAAGAAGGCCUUCGGGUUGUAAAGUACUUUCAGUCGGGAGGAAGGUGGUAAGGUUAAUAACCUUAUCAAUUGACGUUACCGACAGAAGAAGCACCGGCUAACUCCGUGCCAGCAGCCGCGGUAAUACGGAGGGUGCAAGCGUUAAUCGGAAUUACUGGGCGUAAAGCGCACGCAGGCGGUUGAUUGAGUCGGAUGUGAAAUCCCCGGGCUCAACCUGGGAACUGCAUUCGAAACUGGCAGGCUGGAGUCUUGUAGAGGGGGUAGAAUUCCAGGUGUAGCGGUGAAAUGCGUAGAGAUCUGGAGGAAUACCGGUGGCGAAGGCGGCCCCCUGGACAAAGACUGACGCUCAGGUGCGAAAGCGUGGGGAGCAAACAGGAUUAGAUACCCCAGUA